UGCCUGCCCUGUGACCAUGAGUUCAACGGCCGCGGUAUUUUGACCGUGCAAAGGUAGCGCAAUCACUUGUCUUUUAAAUGAAGACCCGUAUGAAUGGCAAGACGAGGGCUUAGCUGUCUCCUUUUUCAAGUCAAUGAAAUUGAUCUUCCCGUGCAGAAGCGGGAAUUCUUCCAUAAGACGAGAAGACCCUAUGGAGCUUCAGACACCAAGACAGACCACGUCAAAGCUCCCUGAUAAAGGACCGAACUAAAUGGACCCUGUCCUAAUGUCUUUGGUUGGGGCGACCACGGGGAAAUACAAAACCCCCGCGUGGAAUGGGAGCACCCUUGCUCCUACAACUGAGAGCUUCCGCUCUAAUAAACAGAACUUCUGACCAACAAGAUCCGGCAACGCCGAUCAACGAACCGAGUUACCCUAGGGAUAACAGCGCAAUCCUCUUUUAGAGCCCAUAUCGAC
Molecule: ribosomal RNA, 456 nt
Filed under: Atractoscion nobilis (white weakfish)
Lineage: Eukaryota; Metazoa; Chordata; Actinopteri; Sciaenidae
Description: partial 16S ribosomal RNA
Rfam family: Bacterial large subunit ribosomal RNA
Source: RNAcentral